Molecule: ribosomal RNA, 200 nt
Filed under: uncultured bacterium
Lineage: Bacteria
Description: partial 16S ribosomal RNA
Rfam family: Bacterial small subunit ribosomal RNA
Source: RNAcentral
AGUGAACGCUGGCGGUAGGCCUAACACAUGCAAGUCGAACGGCAGCACAGUAAGAGCUUGCUCUUAUGGGUGGCGAGUGGCGGACGGGUGAGGAAUACAUCGGAAUCUACCUUUUCGUGGGGGAUAACGUAGGGAAGCUUACGCUAAUACCGCAUGCGACCUUCGGGUGAAAGCAGGGGACCUUCGGGCCUUGCGCGGAU